Molecule: ribosomal RNA, 925 nt
Filed under: uncultured Syntrophobacteraceae bacterium
Lineage: Bacteria; Pseudomonadati; Thermodesulfobacteriota; Syntrophobacteria; Syntrophobacterales; Syntrophobacteraceae
Description: bacterial SSU rRNA
Rfam family: Bacterial small subunit ribosomal RNA
Source: RNAcentral
AGAGUUUGAUUAUGGCUCAGAAUGAACGCUGGCGGCGUGCCUAACACAUGCAAGUCGCACGAGAAAGGCUGGGUUUCGGCUUGGCCGAGUAAAGUGGCGCACGGGUGAGUAACGCGUGGGUGACCUACCCUCGAAUCUGGGAUAACCUCGCGAAAGCGGGGCUAAUACUGGAUACGUCCCUUUGGGGAGAAAGCCGGCCUCUCGCAGAAGCUGGUGUUCGGGGAUGGGCCCGCGUCCUAUCAGCUAGUUGGUAGGGUAACGGCCUACCAAGGCGACGACGGGUAGCUGGUCUGAGAGGAUGAUCAGCCACACUGGCACUGGAACACGGGCCAGACUCCUACGGGAGGCAGCAGUGGGGAAUCUUGGACAAUGGGCGAAAGCCUGAUCCAGCGACGCCGCGUGGGGGAUGAAGCCCUUCGGGGUGUAAACCCCUGUUGCGAGGGAGGAAUAAGGCCUGGAGGAAAUGCCAGGCCGAUGACUGUACCUCGCGAGGAAGCCCCGGCUAACUACGUGCCAGCAGCCGCGGUAAUACGUAGGGGGCGAGCGUUACCCGGAUUCACUGGGCGUAAAGCGGGUGUAGGCGGCUCGGUAAGUCGGGUGUGAAAUCCCACAGCUCAACUGUGGAAUUGCGCCCGAAACUGCUGAGCUUGGGGCCGGUAGAGGGAGACGGAACUGCCGGUGUAGGGGUGAAAUCCGUAGAUAUCGGCAGGAACGCCGGUGGCGAAGGCGGCUCUCUGGCCUGUAACUGACGCUGAGGCGCGAAAGCGUGGGGAGCGAACGGGAUUAGAUACCCCGGUAGUCCACGCCGUAAACGAUGGGUACUAGGUGUAGGAGGUAUCGACCCCUUCUGUGCCGUAGUUAACACAAUAAGUACCCCGCCUGGGGAGUACGGCCGCAAGGUUGAAACUCAAAGGAAUUGACGGGG